Molecule: ribosomal RNA, 440 nt
Filed under: Bacillus cereus
Lineage: Bacteria; Bacillati; Bacillota; Bacilli; Caryophanales; Bacillaceae
Description: bacterial SSU rRNA
Rfam family: Bacterial small subunit ribosomal RNA
Source: RNAcentral
AACCCUUGAUCUUAGUUGCCAUCAUUAAGUUGGGCACUCUAAGGUGACUGCCGGUGACAAACCGGAGGAAGGUGGGGAUGACGUCAAAUCAUCAUGCCCCUUAUGACCUGGGCUACACACGUGCUACAAUGGACGGUACAAAGAGCUGCAAGACCGCGAGGUGGAGCUAAUCUCAUAAAACCGUUCUCAGUUCGGAUUGUAGGCUGCAACUCGCCUACAUGAAGCUGGAAUCGCUAGUAAUCGCGGAUCAGCAUGCCGCGGUGAAUACGUUCCCGGGCCUUGUACACACCGCCCGUCACACCACGAGAGUUUGUAACACCCGAAGUCGGUGGGGUAACCUUUAUGGAGCCAGCCGCCUAAGGUGGGACAGAUGAUUGGGGUGAAGUCGUAACAAGGUAGCCGUAUCGGAAGGUGCGGCUGGAUCACCUCCUUUCUAUGGA